RNAcentral lists this small RNA (177 nucleotides) under human gut metagenome. Its description in RNAcentral is "Bacteroidales-1 6S-Bacteroidales RNA suggested". It matches the Rfam family "Bacteroidales-1 6S-Bacteroidales RNA suggested", at positions 13 to 172 of the family's 179-position model. The record is from RNAcentral.
GUUGAUUGGGAAACUCAUCAAAUUUUUAUGAAAUGCCGAGACAACCUCGCGCGCCCGAUGGCGGGCCCCAUUCCCCACCCCGUGGGGAAGCCGGUAGCUACCGGCCAGGCGGAUUACAAAGGACGGCGAGACCUCAAAUCCUGUCAUUCGGAGUUUCAUCGCAUCCUUUGAUGUGGC